This 443-nucleotide ribosomal RNA is filed under the name uncultured bacterium. RNAcentral describes it as "partial 16S ribosomal RNA". It matches the Rfam family "Bacterial small subunit ribosomal RNA", at positions 338 to 795 of the family's 1533-position model. The record is from RNAcentral.
CCUACGGGUGGCAGCAGUGGGGAAUAUUGGGCAAUGGAGGCAACUCUGACCCAGCAACGCCGCGUGAAUGAUGAAGGUCUUCGGGUUGUAAAGUUCUUUUAUAGGGGAAGAAGAAAGUGACGGUACCUUAGGAAUAAGCCUCGGCUAACUACGUGCCAGCAGCCGCGGUAAUACGUAGGUGGCGAGCGUUAUCCGGAAUGACUGGGCGUAAAGGGAGCGUAGGUGGGUUGGCAAGUUAGUAGCGAAACCCCAAGGCUCAACCUUGGAACUACUAUUAAAACUGUUGGACUUGAGUGCAGGAGGGGAAAGCGGAAUUCCUAGUGUAGCGGUGGAAUGCGUAGAUAUUAGGAGGAACACCAGUGGCGAAGGCGGGUUGCUAGACUGUAACUGACACUGAGGCACGAAAGCGUGGGGAGCAAACAGGAUUAGAUACCCGAGUAGUC